CUACAAAGCGUGGCUCAAUAAAAAGGAAAGCUAAGAAAAGUACCACCGAAUAAAGAAACCUAAAAUAGAAAAAGGAAAGGAAGGUGAAGAAAUGCACAGUUAAUAUUGUUGCUGUUGGUUGUGCUACAAAUAAUGAAUCUGCUGCAAAUAAUGAAGCAACAAGCUUCAACACUGGAGAUCCUUCUAAGCAUAUUAGUAUCGAAGCAAGAAAACCUUCAGAGAGAAAAGAGGCAGAUUCCAGUGAAAGAAUUCUUUGUCAUAGCCCUCCACCACUUCCACCACCACUUGCACUGGUGGAGCUUAAAACUCAGGCAGCAUGUAGUACUG
RNAcentral lists this long non-coding RNA (327 nucleotides) under Amphimedon queenslandica. RNAcentral describes it as "uncharacterized LOC109589650, transcript variant X1". Lineage: Eukaryota; Metazoa; Porifera; Demospongiae; Haplosclerida; Niphatidae. The record is from RNAcentral.